UGGGGAAUAUUGCACAAUGGGCGAAAGCCUGAUGCAGCAACGCCGCGUGAGUGAUGAAGGUCUUCGGAUUGUAAAGCUCUGUCUUUUGGGACGAUAAUGACGGUACCAAAGGAGGAAGCCACGGCUAACUACGUGCCAGCAGCCGCGGUAAUACGUAGGUGGCGAGCGUUGUCCGGAUUUACUGGGCGUAAAGGGUGCGUAGGCGGAUGUUUAAGUGAGAUGUGAAAUACCCGGGCUUAACUUGGGUGCUGCAUUUCAAACUGGAUAUCUAGAGUGCAGGAGAGGAGAAUGGAAUUCCUAGUGUAGCGGUGAAAUGCGUAGAGAUUAGGAAGAACACCAGUGGCGAAGGCGAUUCUCUGGACUGUAACUGACGCUGAGGCACGAAAGCGUGGGUAGCAAACAGGAUUAGAUACCCUGGUAGUCCACGCCGUAAACGAUGAGUACUAGGUGUAGGAGGUAUCGACCCCUUCUAUGCCGCAGUAAACACAUUAAGUACUCCGCCUGGGAAGUACGAUCG
Molecule: ribosomal RNA, 517 nt
Filed under: uncultured bacterium
Lineage: Bacteria
Description: partial 16S ribosomal RNA
Rfam family: Bacterial small subunit ribosomal RNA
Source: RNAcentral